This 478-nucleotide ribosomal RNA is filed under the name uncultured bacterium. RNAcentral describes it as "partial 16S ribosomal RNA". It matches the Rfam family "Bacterial small subunit ribosomal RNA", at positions 28 to 523 of the family's 1533-position model. The record is from RNAcentral.
GACGAACGCUGGCGGCGUGCUUAACACAUGCAAGUCGAACGGUAAGGCCCUUCGGGGUACACGAGUGGCGAACGGGUGAGUAACACGUGGGUGAUCUGCCCUGCACUUCGGGAUAAGCCUGGGAAACUGGGUCUAAUACCGGAUAGGACCACUGCCUGCAUGGGUGGUGGUGGAAAGCUUUUGCGGUGUGGGAUGGGCCCGCGGCCUAUCAGCUUGUUGGUGGGGUGAUGGCCUACCAAGGCGACGACGGGUAGCCGGCCUGAGAGGGUGACCGGCCACACUGGGACUGAGAUACGGCCCAGACUCCUACGGGAGGCAACAGUGAGGAAUAUUGCACAAUGGGCGCAAGCCUGAUGCAGCGACGCCGCGUGAGGGAUGACGGCCUUCGGGUUGUAAACCUCUUUCAGCACCGACGAAGCGCAAGUGACGGUAGGUGCAGAAGAAGGACCGGCCAACUACGUGCCAGCAGCCGCGGUAA